Molecule: long non-coding RNA, 267 nt
Filed under: Homo sapiens (human)
Lineage: Eukaryota; Metazoa; Chordata; Mammalia; Primates; Hominidae
Description: HSALNT0343738
Source: RNAcentral
CCUGUAUUACUUGAAUGCUAUCUCUGCACAAUGUUCAGUUUCAGUUCUUCCUGAGGAACUUUUUGAUGCCUUCCAGAAGGCUCUUCUUUCCCUUCACACACCUUCCAUUAAACUGUAAGAGUCAUGCCAGGCACUUGUUUCUAGGUGUAGCAGUUUAAUCUCUCCAAUUAAGCUAUAAGCUUCUUGAUUAAAACAAAAACAAAAACAGAAACAUGGCACCUUCCUUUCUUGGACAGCUAUCACUGAACACAGUGUUACACAAUAAGU